Molecule: ribosomal RNA, 421 nt
Filed under: uncultured bacterium
Lineage: Bacteria
Description: bacterial SSU rRNA
Rfam family: Bacterial small subunit ribosomal RNA
Source: RNAcentral
UAAGGAAUAUUGGUCAAUGGACGCAAGUCUGAACCAGCCAUGCCGCGUGAAGGAUGAAGGUCCUCUGGAUUGUAAACUUCUUUUAUCUGGGACGAAAACGGGAUUUUUAUCUCAAUUGACGGUACCAGAGGAAUAAGCACCGGCUAACUACGUGCCAGCAGCCGCGGUAAUACGUAGGGAGCAAGCGUUGUUCGGAUUCACUGGGCGUAAAGGGCGCGUAGGCGGCGCGGUAAGUCACUUGUGAAAUCUCUGAGCUUAACUCAGAACGGCCAAGUGAUACUGCUGUGCUAGAGUGCGGAAGAGGCAACCGGAAUUCUUGGUGUAGCGGUGAAAUGCGUAGAUAUCAAGAGGAACACCUGAGGCGAAGGCGGGUUGCUGGGCCGACACUGACGCUGAUGCGCGAAAGCCAGGGGAGCAAACG